This 1246-nucleotide long non-coding RNA is filed under the name Helianthus annuus (common sunflower). RNAcentral describes it as "sRNA HanXRQr2_Chr13g0599251". The record is from RNAcentral. Lineage: Eukaryota; Viridiplantae; Streptophyta; Magnoliopsida; Asterales; Asteraceae.
UUUAAUUGUUCCACUCUAGUGCCUUGGUCUGCAACCAGCAACCACGUAACUCUCGUUAGCCCUAAUUCUGAAUGAAGAAUCAUUGGUUAAUGGAGGAAGAUGGUGUAGUUCAUGCUAGUUCUGAAAUCAAUUUAAUCAACAAUGAAGACACCGUACUCUGAAACAAUACAUUCAUUGUCUUUUUAACCCUACAAAUCUUCGACAACCACAUGUUUCCGCCGCCUCUCUAUCGUACCUGAUUCAACACAACCACCGUCACAAGAAUUACCACAAUUCGUCAUCACUGUUCCCUCAGGCUCUCCUCAAAAGCGCUCAAACUGAAACAUCUGAUUCAAAUCGAACAAAUGGAUGAAAUACUAUCAACUUGAAGAAUUUAUUGGGGUUGCAUAAGUAUUCGAGUGGGUCGGAGAUGUACAAAAAGGCACUACAAGCUGUAUAUUUAACUGCAAUUUGGGGCAUUUGGAAGGCGCGAAACAAGGCGGUGUUUAACAAUGUUCAGGCACAGCUCCAAAAGACUAUGAGCUGACAUAAAAGCUCUUAGCAUAAGCAUUAGGAAGGGAGGGUGGGUAACAGGUCAGAGUUGUAUUAUUUUAGGACAUCUUCUAAAAUUCCAUGUAAACUCUUAUAUUUAAAUUUAAUAUAAAGAUUAGUUAGUUUUUGAAAGGACUGGUUGUUUGUUUCAGAUUGAUCGCGUUUAUCUUAGCUCUGCUUAUUGUGUUGUUGUACUUGAUCAUGAAAGGAAGUGGACGUAUGUGUUGAGGAAGGAAGGGCUACCUGAUGUUGGUUUACACUUUAAUUGGAGCUAGAGCAGCAGAAGUUGCUAUUGAUGCUGCUAAUAUAUUAAAAUGAGCCCUUACCAGAGGUGAAUUGCAGGUGGCAAUGUAUACACUUGAUAAAUACCGAAAACAUAUUGAAUAAUAUCCAGCGUUAGAGAGAUAUCCAGCGUUAGAGAGACGGUUCCAGCCAGUUAAGGUGAAACAAGCAAGGAUGAACAAACAAAAAUUUUGGCUUAUAGCCCCGAAGAAGCUCUGUAAUUGUUAUUGGAAUGGCUGGACUGCUUGAUUAUUUAUUUGUAUAACAUCAUUUUUUUCAUGUUUCCAUAUCAUACUCACUAGUUUGUUUGCAUGCCAACGUGUGUGAGAUAUCACCACUUUAUGCUGUACUUUUUUUUAUACACGCCCAAUUACUAACAUUGGUAGGUUUGUUUGUUUUUAUUGUAUUUAUAUAAUAUAUAAAUAACUUCUAU